UACGUAGGGUGCAAGCGUUGUCCGGAAUUAUUGGGCGUAAAGAGCUCGUAGGCGGUUUGUCGCGUCUGCUGUGAAAACUGGAGGCUCAACCUCCAGCCUGCAGUGGGUACGGGCAGACUAGAGUGCGGUAGGGGAGAUUGGAAUUCCUGGUGUAGCGGUGAAAUGCGUAGAUAUCAGGAGGAAUACCAGUGGCGAAGGCGACCCCCUGGGCCAAUACUGACGCUGAGGUACGAAAGCGUGGGUAGCGAACAGG
Molecule: ribosomal RNA, 253 nt
Filed under: uncultured bacterium
Lineage: Bacteria
Description: partial 16S ribosomal RNA
Rfam family: Bacterial small subunit ribosomal RNA
Source: RNAcentral